RNAcentral lists this ribosomal RNA (355 nucleotides) under Durinskia baltica. Its description in RNAcentral is "partial Eukaryotic large subunit ribosomal RNA". It matches the Rfam family "Eukaryotic large subunit ribosomal RNA", at positions 2969 to 3327 of the family's 3401-position model. The record is from RNAcentral. Lineage: Eukaryota; Dinophyceae; Peridiniales; Kryptoperidiniaceae.
CGUCGUGAGACAGGUUAGUUUUACCCUACUGAUGAGCUGGUCGCCGCGACAGUAAUCCAAUCCAGUACGAGAGGAACCGUUGGUUCACAUAAUUGGUCAUUUCCGUUGAUGGAAACGUCAAUGCGGAGAAGCUACCAUGUGUAGGAUUACGGCUGAACGCCUCUAAGCCAGAAUCCAUGCUGGAAAGCGGCGAUAUGAGCUUUCCCUCAGUCUUCAUGAGUACGUAUAGACUUUCGAGUCCAAGAUCAUACUAUCGCAGCGGCUCUCGCUCGGCCAACAAAGGACGAGCAGACGAGGCGGAACCAAUUUCAACCAAGGGAGAGACAAAUCCUUUGUAUACGACUUAAAUACAGAA